Molecule: small nucleolar RNA, 88 nt
Filed under: Arabidopsis thaliana x Arabidopsis arenosa
Lineage: Eukaryota; Viridiplantae; Streptophyta; Magnoliopsida; Brassicales; Brassicaceae
Description: snoR114
Rfam family: small nucleolar RNA snoR114
Source: RNAcentral
AAGCUGUGAGGAAAACUGCGCAUAUUGAUGGAUUUGGGUUCAUCACCAUCGUCUGAUAGAAAGACGAGUCAGGUGCGCAUCUGAGCUU